UCACGUGCUCCGGGGUCGGUGCAACUCCGAACCGGCGGUGAAAGUCCGCGACCCGUCUGCAGCCAGCAGCCGGUUGACCUGGUGGAACUCCAGGACCGACGGUGAAAGUCCGGAUGGGAGGUAGCACGUGC
Auraticoccus monumenti is the source of this 131-nucleotide regulatory RNA element. It matches the Rfam family "FMN riboswitch aptamer (RFN element)". From Rfam's summary of the family: The RFN element is a highly conserved domain that is found frequently in the 5'-untranslated regions of prokaryotic mRNAs that encode for flavin mononucleotide (FMN) biosynthesis and transport proteins. The record is from Rfam. Lineage: Bacteria; Bacillati; Actinomycetota; Actinomycetes; Propionibacteriales; Propionibacteriaceae.